CGAAGGGGGCUAGCGUUGUUCGGAAUUACUGGGCGUAAAGCGCACGCAGGCGGUUCGAUUAGUCAGAAGUGAAAGCCCCGGGCUCAACCUGGGAAUUGCUUUUGAUACUGUCGAGCUUGAAUCACGGAGAGGGUAGUGGAAUUCCGAGUGUAGAGGUGAAAUUCGUAGAUAUUCGGAAGAACACCAGUGGCGAAGGCGACUACCUGGCCGUCGAUUGACGCUCAUGUGCGAAAGCGUGGGGAGCAAACAGGAUUAGAUACCCUGGUAGUCCACGCCGUAAACGAUGGGUGCUAGUUGUUGGGGUACAUGUACCUCAGUGACGCAGCUAACGCGUUAAGCACCCCGCCUGGGGAGUACGGCCGCAAGGUUA
This 370-nucleotide ribosomal RNA is filed under the name uncultured organism. RNAcentral describes it as "bacterial SSU rRNA". It matches the Rfam family "Bacterial small subunit ribosomal RNA", at positions 526 to 896 of the family's 1533-position model. The record is from RNAcentral.